RNAcentral lists this unclassified non-coding RNA (292 nucleotides) under uncultured fungus. RNAcentral's name for it is "sequence contains ITS1". The record is from RNAcentral. Lineage: Eukaryota; Fungi.
GGACUACUAGGGUAUCUAAUCCUGUUUGAUCCCCACGCUUUCGUGCCUCAGUGUCAAUGACCGUGUAGUGAGCUGCCUUCGCAAUCGGUGUUCUAUGUCAUAUCUAAGCAUUUCACCGCUACAUGACAUAUUCCGCUCACCUCCAAGGUAUUCAAGACAGAUAGUAUCAAUGGCAGUUCCCAAGUUAAGCUCGGGGAUUUCACCACUGACUUACCUGCCCACCUACGCACCCUUUAAACCCAGUGAAUCCGGAUAACGCUUGCACCCUCCGUAUUACCGCGGCUGCUGGCAC